GAUCAUGGCUCAGGAUGAACGCUGGCGGCGUGCUUAACACAUGCAAGUCGAACGAAGCACUUAAGAUUGAUUCUUCGGAUGACGUCUUUUGUGACUUAGUGGCGGACGGGUGAGUAACGCGUGGGUAACCUGCCUCACACAGGGGGAUAACAGUUAGAAAUGACUGCUAAUACCGCAUAAGACCACGGAGUCGCAUGGCUCAGUGGGAAAAACUCCGGUGGUAUGAGAUGGACCCGCGU
RNAcentral lists this ribosomal RNA (239 nucleotides) under uncultured bacterium. Its description in RNAcentral is "partial 16S ribosomal RNA". It matches the Rfam family "Bacterial small subunit ribosomal RNA", at positions 15 to 236 of the family's 1533-position model. The record is from RNAcentral.